Molecule: transfer RNA, 78 nt
Filed under: Nitrososphaerota archaeon
Lineage: Archaea; Thermoproteati; Nitrososphaerota
Also listed under: 1 other name
Description: tRNA-Glu
Rfam family: tRNA
About the family: Transfer RNA (tRNA) molecules are approximately 80 nucleotides in length. Their secondary structure includes four short double-helical elements and three loops (D, anti-codon, and T loops). Further hydrogen bonds mediate the characteristic L-shaped molecular structure. tRNAs have two regions of fundamental functional importance: the anti-codon, which is responsible for specific mRNA codon recognition, and the 3' end, to which the tRNAs corresponding amino acid is attached (by aminoacyl-tRNA synthetases). tRNAs cope with the degeneracy of the genetic code in two manners: having more than one tRNA (with a specific anti-codon) for a particular amino acid; and 'wobble' base-pairing, i.e. permitting non-standard base-pairing at the 3rd anti-codon position.
Source: RNAcentral
GCUCCGGUAGUAUAGUCCGGUCAAGUAUCUCGGCCUCUCGAGCCGAUAACCCGGGUUCAAAUCCCGGCCGGAGCACCA